UACGUAGGCAGCGAGCGUUGUUCGGAGUUACUGGGCGUAAAGGGUGUGUAGGCGGUUGUUUAAGUUUGGUGUGAAAUCUCCCGGCUCAACUGGGAGGGUGCGCCGAAUACUGAAUGACUUCGAGUGCGGGAGAGGAAAGUGGAAUUCCUGGUGUAGCGGUGAAAUGCGUAGAUAUCGAGAGGAACACCGGUGGCGAAGGCGGCUUUCUGGACGGUUACUGACGCUGAGACGCGAAAGCGUGGGGAGCAAACAGG
RNAcentral lists this ribosomal RNA (254 nucleotides) under uncultured bacterium. RNAcentral describes it as "partial 16S ribosomal RNA". It matches the Rfam family "Bacterial small subunit ribosomal RNA", at positions 524 to 776 of the family's 1533-position model. The record is from RNAcentral.